Salvia miltiorrhiza (redroot sage) is the source of this 738-nucleotide long non-coding RNA. RefSeq lists it as uncharacterized. The record is from RefSeq and is a predicted model, not a curated record. The transcript is spliced from 2 exons. Lineage: Eukaryota; Viridiplantae; Streptophyta; Magnoliopsida; Lamiales; Lamiaceae.
GGGGGUAUUAGCUUAUUUAUCUCCCCUAAACUCACAGUUUGAUAGGCUUUAUUAAUAAUACUCCAGGCCCGCAUUAAUCUCUAAACCCGCUGAAAAACAUUGUUCCUCUUAGAAACCACAUCCGGCCCUCACCCCCUGAUCAGUAAUAUUGCAUGAACAGUGUUUGAGAUUACAAAUUAUGUUUACAAUUUUAUCCCUCAAUUUACUUCAAAAUAUGAAUUCUUCAGUCCUUUGAUGAGAUUUUCGUCAAAUCCCCUUGAAGGGGCCGGUGCAAGCUUACCGACAGGAGAGGUAAGGGUGGGUGGUUCGGCCGCAAUUUUUGGGAGGAGGGGCCGAUGCAAGCUUACAGGAGGAGAUGCAAGCUGCUCGCGACGGCGACAAGGAGACGGGGCGUGAUUUUAUUUUGGGUGAGGGCGACGGAAAACAUGAAUUUUGGUUGGGGGUAUGGCAGCGUUAUAGGGAAGAAGGCUGCGAAAUUUUUUUUGGCAGAGAAAAGAUGGGGGAGGCGUAACUUGCCUGGGGAAGAAGGAAGAAAGAGGUGGGGUAGAAGGGGGUGGGCUGGGCGAGAGGGGGGAAGGUGUCUGCAGUCUGCUGCACAAGGGGUGGGGGUUACGUGUUCAAUCACUAGUUUUUUUCCUUUUUCCCCCAAUUAUGCUUAGGAUAAUUUUGUCAUUUUCUUGUAUUAAUAGAGGGUGUUCAUGUAAUUUCAACAUCUAAUAUAUCUGUUAAAUUAUUUUA